GAACACUAAGGCAGCAUCUGAGGCACAAUCAUUUGCCUCUAUUGGCUCUCAAGAUGCUCCAUCUAAUAGGACAGGUUUCAGAUUCUCCAGUAAUGGUUUCUUCUAGUCAGAAGGUCUCUAACCAACAUUAUAUAUCUAUCUAUAUAUACCUACACUAUUCAAGUAAGUCUGGUGCUAAUAUGUGGAGAUUGAACAGAAGGCCUAAUGGACUAUAACAAAAGGGAUCGGAAAACAUUGUGCAAAACGUUAUCAGAACACUUAACAGGCCGUAUUGUGAUAAUCUAUUUACAUAUUUGUCUUUUUCAUUAAAAUAAACUCCUUGACGGUAGAGGCUGUAUCAUUUCAGGAAUUUAAUCAGUAAUUCCUAAUGAGUGCCUGAUACUCCGUAUAGGUUUAUUCAAAGAAUAAAUAAAUAAAUGCUAAUUAUCAUAUAAUAUGUGAUGUUAUAUAUCUUCUUGUAUAUCAUAGAUUGGUUUAAAAGUUAUAAAAACACUCAUUUUGAUUAAAUAACAAAAUACAAUGCUUCCUGGAUAUGAACUUGAAAUGAAUGUUUCUGGCGAGGGCGUAUAUCUUUAUAUGCUGUGGAACGACAAUGUUCUCACAAAUAUUUGAGAAUGCAAUAUGCUAUUAUUCCUGAAGAGUAGCCUAGAGAAUCAUUCUUCUCUUCAGACUCUCCGUCUAUUAAAGCUGUCCUUAAUUAACCUGCUUAUUGUUCCCAUUCCCUUUCAGAAUUGCAUUCUCUAUCACUCAAACACAGUAACUGUCACAGUGCCCUGAAUAGCUCCCAGCUUGGCCACUCUGUUUCGGCAACACUUUUUCUAACUGACAAGAAACGGGGCUUUAGGCAGAGAUCAUUUAGUGGAGUAGCACAACAGUGGAUGGUCAUCUAUAUAUACACACUGAAGAGGAAAAGAAAGGGGAUAGAAUGGGUUGGUAAAAAGGUACCAUAGAGCCCUCAGAUAAAAAGAUUGGAAAGUAGAGCCAGAAAUGAUGAAAGUAACACCACCACCAACUUCACAACAACAAUAUAAUAGUUAAUGGGAAUGGAAGAUAUAUAACUCAGGUAAUAACAGUCCCCUUGGUUCAUUUAUUUCUUUGCAAGGGCUUAAACCCCUGGCUUAAAAAUUUUUAUAUAGUAUUAGUAGCUCACCCUACCUAAUUCCUACGUCCUCCUUAAUGAAAUCUAAUAAUGGAUGUUUUAAACUAGAGUGUCUAUCUUAGAUAUAUGGUUAGUAAUAGCAGAUGAUCCAAAAGUUUUUCUUAGAUUAUAUAGAGGGAUGACCAUAGCAGUUAAGUUACUAGGGGAAUCUCAACUAUUAUGAGGAAAGAUAAAACAUUAUAACCAUAAACCAGAUCACCAGAACUUGCACUUUGCUCCUAUUCUCUCCUUCUUUCGUCAUAAAACGAAUCACUAAAUUUCAUAGGAUCAUAAACUCUACAUUUAUUAUUUAAGUAAAAAAGCUUUGCAAGAAAAAGACAAAUGGGGGAAAAAGGCAAAAGAAAUAAAAUUAAAGGUUCAGGUGAUAGAGAGCUAUUCAAACAUGAAGGUAAGAAGUGCCUUCUCACAGAACGGAGUGCUGAGAUAUAACUGCAGAGACACUUGAAAGAGGCCAGUGCUAAAUAAUAAAUGAAGAAUCUAUUGAGAGAAGUAGAGGAGCUUAGAAGAAACAAAAUGCUCUGUAAACAUAAUUUUUUAAAAGACAUCUCUUUCAAACUUAAAACCUGGAAGUUUGAGGAACCUAGGCUUUGCUAAGAAAAGGUGAUUUCCCUUGUGAGCCACACAGAUUAAGAUAUGCACAUAAAAAAUUACACUGGCAAGUAGCUGAGGAUUUUAAUAAACAUGUAAAUUAUAACCUUAAAAACAAACAAAAAGAGCCCAGAGACUGUGUUUCUUCCAAAUAGGCAUGAGAACCUUACAGAAGUGACGUUAGCUUGCAGAGGCAAAGCGAGAGCCAAGUUUGAAGUAAAGGAGACUCAAGUCACUUGUUUGUAAAGUAACUUCAACUAGGUUUCCAUAUAGUGGGCAUUGUAUCACCUCAAAUCAUUGCAAGAAGAAGGGUGAGUACAGUACACUAAGAUAUUUUGAAAGAGAGAAAGAGAAAUCACAUUCACAUGGGUUUUGUUGUAAUAUAUUGUUAUAAUUGGUCUAUUUCAUUAUUAGUUAUUGUUGUUAAUCUGUAUCAUAGGUAUCUAUAUAUAGGAAAAACGUAUUAUAUGUAGGGCUUGGUUCUAUCCACUUUUUCAGACAUCCACUGGGGAUCUUGGAACAUGUGCUCCCGUGGAUAAGAGGGAUUACUGUAAUAAAAAUGCUGGCUAAGUGCACUCAUUCAUAAAGGCACUUUAUGCAAUAAAAUCAGAAGUAUUUUCAAAAAAAGUUUAGUAGAUUUUUCAUUUUAGGGUAGUUUUAGGUUUACUGCAAAAUUAAACGGAACGACAGAGAUGUCUCCUAUAGCCGCUGCCCCCAUGCUUGCAUAGCCUCCACCAUUAUCAACAUCCUCCAUCAAAUUGGUGUAUUUAUUACAAUUGAUAACCCUAUGCUGACACAUCAUUAUCAUCAAAGUCCAUAGCUAACACUAGAGUUCACUCUUGGUGGUGUACCUUUUUUGGGUUUGGACAAAGGUAUAAUGACAUGUUUUCACAAUGACAGUAUUAUAUGGAGUACUUACACUGUCCCCAAAAUCCUCUGAGCUCUGCUUAUUCAUCCCUCCAUCCCCUAACCCCUGGCAGUCACUGACAUCUGGCAAUUGCUUUUUCCAGAAUGUCAUAGAGUUGGAAUUAAACAGGACAUAGCCUUUUCAGAUUUGCUUCUUUCUCUUAGUAAUAUGCAUUUAAGUUUCCUCUGUAUCUUUUUAAUGCUGAAUAAUAUUUCAAUGUCUUCAUGCACUACAGUUUAUUUAUCCACUCACCUACUGAAGGGCAUCUUGGUUCCCUCCCAGUUUUGGCAAUUAUUAGAAAGUUGCUAUAAACAUCUCUGUGCUAGUUUUUGUGUGAACAUGUUUUCAUCUCCUUUGGGUAAAUACCACAGAGUGUGAUUACAUAGUAAGAGUAUGUUUGGUUUUGUAAGAAACUGCCAAACUCUUCCAAAGUGAAAAAUUUUUUCAAAAUAACUUGAACAAGAAUGCCCCAAACAUCUCCAUGAUUCAUUAAGAACAAAUGCUGG
RNAcentral lists this long non-coding RNA (3160 nucleotides) under Equus caballus (horse). RNAcentral's name for it is "lncRNA (ENSECAG00000033666.3)". The record is from RNAcentral. Lineage: Eukaryota; Metazoa; Chordata; Mammalia; Perissodactyla; Equidae.